RNAcentral lists this ribosomal RNA (492 nucleotides) under uncultured bacterium. RNAcentral's name for it is "partial 16S ribosomal RNA". It matches the Rfam family "Bacterial small subunit ribosomal RNA", at positions 29 to 507 of the family's 1533-position model. The record is from RNAcentral.
AGUGAACGCUGGCGGUAGGCCUAACACAUGCAAGUCGAACGGCAGCACAGUAAGAGCUUGCUCUUACGGGUGGCGAGUGGCGGACGGGUGAGGAAUACAUCGGAAUCUACUUUUUCGUGGGGGAUAACGUAGGGAAACUUACGCUAAUACCGCAUACGACCUACGGGCGAAAGCAGGGGAUCUUCGGACCUUGCGCGAUUGAAUGAGCCGAUGUCGGAUUAGCUAGUUGGCGGGGUAAAGGCCCACCAAGGCGACGAUCCGUAGCUGGUCUGAGAGGAUGAUCAGCCACACUGGAGCUGAGACACGGUCCAGACUCCUACGGGAGGCAGCAGUGGGGAAUAUUGGACAAUGGGCGCAAGCCUGAUCCAGCCAUACCGCGUGGGUGAAGAAGGCCUUCGGGUUGUAAAGCCCUUUUGUUGGGAAAGAAAAGCAGCAGGUUAAUACCCCGCUGUUCUGACGGUACCCAAGGAAUAAGCACCGGCUAACUUCGUG